GACGUCCAGGAAGAAGAGCAUCUGAUGGUGCUCGCCGCCCUCGCCCAGCUGCUGGCGAGCAAUGAAAAGCCGCGUCGAGGUGGCUCGGCGCCAGGGCGGGUGAAAGCAAAGAACCGGCAUCGUCUGCAAGGCCACUGCAUGCUCUGCUCCGACUACUUCGCCGAUGCUCCACUUCAUGGCGAGAGAACAUUUCGGCGCCGUUAUCGAAUGAGCCGAAAGCUCUUCCUCAGGAUUGUGAAUUCCAUCCGGGAGUUCGACAACUACUUCAAGUGCAAGAUGGAUUGCACUGGCGCUCUUGGAUUCACCUCCAUCCAGAAGUGCACGACAGCGAUGAGGAUGCUUGCAUAUGGAGCUCCC
Molecule: ribosomal RNA, 357 nt
Filed under: Triticum aestivum (bread wheat)
Lineage: Eukaryota; Viridiplantae; Streptophyta; Magnoliopsida; Poales; Poaceae
Description: partial small subunit ribosomal RNA
Source: RNAcentral